RNAcentral lists this ribosomal RNA (497 nucleotides) under uncultured bacterium. Its description in RNAcentral is "partial 16S ribosomal RNA". It matches the Rfam family "Bacterial small subunit ribosomal RNA", at positions 28 to 507 of the family's 1533-position model. The record is from RNAcentral.
GAUGAACGCUGGCGGCGUGCCUAAUACAUGCAAGUCGAGCGAACAGACGAGGAGCUUGCUCCUUUGACGUUAGCGGCGGACGGGUGAGUAACACGUAGGUAACCUACCUAUAAGACUGGGAUAACUUCGGGAAACCGGAGCUAAUACCGGAUAAUAUUUCGAACCGCAUGGUUCGAUAGUGAAAGAUGGCUUUGCUAUCACUUAUAGAUGGACCUUCGCCGUAUUAGCUAGUUGGUAAGGUAACGGCUUACCAAGGCAACGAUACGUAGCCGACCUGAGAGGGUGAUCGGCCACACUGGAACUGAGACACGGUCCAGACUCCUACGGGAGGCAGCAGUAGGGAAUCUUCCGCAAUGGGCGAAAGCCUGACGGAGCAACGCCGCGUGAGUGAUGAAGGUCUUCGGAUCGUAAAGCUCUGUUAUUAGGGAAGAACAAACGUGUAAGUAACUGUGCACGUCUUGACGGUACCUACUCAGAAAGCCACGGCUAACUACGUG